GUGAGGAAUUUUCCGCAAUGGGCGAAAGCCUGACGGAGCAAUGCCGCGUGAAGGAUGAAGGCCUAUGGGUUGUAAACUUCUUUUCUUAGAGAAGAAUAUUGACGGUAUCUGAGGAAUAAGCAUCGGCUAACUCUGUGCCAGCAGCCGCGGUAAGACAGAGGAUGCAAGCGUUAUCCGGAAUGAUUGGGCGUAAAGCGUCUGUAGGUGGCUUCAAAAGUCUCCUGUCAAAGAUCAGGGCUUAACCCUGGGCCGGCAGGAGAAACUCUGAGGCUAGAGUUUGGUAGGGGCAGAGGGAAUUCCCGGUGGAGCGGUGAAAAGCGUAGAGAUCGGGAGGAACACCAAAGGCGAAAGCACUCUGCUGGGCCACAACUGACACUGAGAGACGAAAGCGAGGGGAGCAAAAGGGAUUAGAUACCCCUGUAGUCC
This 426-nucleotide ribosomal RNA is filed under the name uncultured bacterium. Its description in RNAcentral is "partial 16S ribosomal RNA". It matches the Rfam family "Bacterial small subunit ribosomal RNA", at positions 354 to 796 of the family's 1533-position model. The record is from RNAcentral.